AGCAGCCGCGGUAAUUCCAGCUCCAAUAGCGUAUAUUAAAGUUGUUGCAGUUAAAAAGCUCGUAGUUGAAUUUCGGGGUUCUACCGUUGGUCGGGCUUUGUCUGUACUGGCGUGUAGAAUUUCUACCUUUUGGGGAACCAUCAUGUUAUUAAUUUAACGUGGCGGGAAACCAGGACCUUUACCUUGAAAAAAUUAGAGUGUUCAAAGCAGGCUUACGUCUGAAUACAUUAGCAUGGAAUAAUAAAAUAGGACGGUGGUCCUGUUUUGUUGGUUUCUGAAUCACCGUAAUGAUUAAUAGGGAUAGUUGGGGGCAUUAGUAUUCAAUUGUCAGAGGUGAAAUUCUUGGAUUUAU
This 352-nucleotide ribosomal RNA is filed under the name uncultured Racocetra. Its description in RNAcentral is "SSU rRNA". It matches the Rfam family "Eukaryotic small subunit ribosomal RNA", at positions 569 to 929 of the family's 1831-position model. The record is from RNAcentral. Lineage: Eukaryota; Fungi; Glomeromycota; Glomeromycetes; Diversisporales; Gigasporaceae.